GUAUGCGAUCAUAACCAGCAUUAUGCACCGCCGAUCCCAUCAGAACUCCGAAGUUAAGCAUGCUUGGCGAGAGUAUACCUAGGAUGGGGUGACCCCUGGGAAGUCCUCGUGUUCAUCAC
RNAcentral lists this ribosomal RNA (119 nucleotides) under Ipomoea nil (Japanese morning glory). Lineage: Eukaryota; Viridiplantae; Streptophyta; Magnoliopsida; Solanales; Convolvulaceae. The record is from RNAcentral.